UGGGGAAUAUUGCACAAUGGGCGCAAGCCUGAUGCAGCCAUGCCGCGUGUGUGAAGAAGGCCUUCGGGUUGUAAAGCACUUUCAGCGAGGAGGAAGGUGGUGAGCUUAAUACGCUCAUCAAUUGACGUUACUCGCAGAAGAAGCACCGGCUAACUCCGUGCCAGCAGCCGCGGUAAUACGGAGGGUGCAAGCGUUAAUCGGAAUUACUGGGCGUAAAGCGCACGCAGGCGGUUUGUUAAGUCAGAUGUGAAAUCCCCGGGCUCAACCUGGGAACUGCAUUUGAAACUGGCAAGCUAGAGUCUCGUAGAGGGGGGUAGAAUUUCCAGGUGUAGCGGUGAAAUGCGUAGAGAUCUGGAGGAAUACCGGUGGCGAAGGCGGCCCCCCUGGACGAAGACUGACGCUCAGGUGCGAAAGCGUGGGGCAGCAAACAGGAUUAGAUACCCUGGUAGUCCAGCGCUGUAAACGAUGUCGAUUUGGAGGUUGUGCCCUUGAGGCGUGGCUUCCGGAGCUAACGCGUUAAAGUCGACCGCCUGGGGAGUACGGCGCAAGGUUAAAACUUAAAGGAAUUGAC
Molecule: ribosomal RNA, 571 nt
Filed under: uncultured bacterium
Lineage: Bacteria
Description: partial 16S ribosomal RNA
Rfam family: Bacterial small subunit ribosomal RNA
Source: RNAcentral